Molecule: long non-coding RNA, 2117 nt
Organism: Homo sapiens (human)
Lineage: Eukaryota; Metazoa; Chordata; Mammalia; Primates; Hominidae
Product: long intergenic non-protein coding RNA 1193
Source: Ensembl
GUUGCAGGCUAUCGUGUGUUAACCUGUACUUCUGCCGCAGAGUUUGGAGAAAGCGGCAGCAGAUUGUGCUGCCGCAGGCUGGAGCCUGGAACCUGGAGCCCUGGAGCCUUGAAUGGUGUGUGGUGGCAAUGGAGAGAGGCAGCUGGCAGUGACAGCUGCUCCGUGCUUGGCUACAGGAAGGAAAGAAGGAGAAAGCACCUACCAUAGGCUGGAGGCUAGAGCCUGCAGGACUGCGGCUGGCCUCGCUGGCUCGCCUCCCUGGCUGGCCUCGCUGUGGUUGGUGGCAGCGACGGAUACUGCAGCUGGCCAGAGUGUAGAAAGGCAAUGGGGAGCGCAGUCCUGGUGGGCCCAGCGGUUCCUGUGGAUUGGAGCCAGGCAGUGUGAUGUUACCAGUCACCACUCCAGGUCCCAGUUCCUGGCCCGCUUGAGCCAAAAGGAGAGGCUGGACUUUGGAGGGUGGAUAUGAGUGCCUUCACUGAGACUGGCCCCUGCCACCCAGUGGCCAGGAUGACAAGGCAGAGGAGAAUGACCCUGUGGCCACCACCAUCACAGGCCUAUGCUCAGCAUGAUGUAAACUCCACUGCGGACAGAUGCAGCCAAGAAGACAGGUCACCUUCUACCAACUCCCACCAGAGGAAACUCUUCCCCAGGACCCAGUACGUUGGCCCUCUGACCCUGCACACAGCACAUGAUGCUGAGGUUCAGUGCUGAACAAGAGCUACUGAGAGCCAGAGAUUCACUUCUUCCAUGGAGCCCCACUCAUGGAUGGAGGCUCUGUCCCGGGUCCAGUGCCACUGGGAACACUGGGUCUCUGGUUUCUAGCUCUGUCCUAUGGCAGAGGUUCCACCCCACAAUAACCGAAGUGCUGAGAAGGUGGGAAGCUCCUGCCCGACCCUCCACUGAGAGCUCAGCUCCUAGGCUGAGGAAUAAAACAGCUCAACUUUGUCUACACCUGCAGAACCUUGUUUAGGAGCUCUGUCCCAGGAGAGAGGGGGCAAUGGAAUUCAGUCAUAAAAUAUGAUCCUUAAUUAGUCCUAAAAAUCCUAACUUCAGUAACAGCAGAUUGUGGACAAAUUGAAAGCCUGCCAGUGCUCUCAAAAACAGUGGAUGGUGUGGUGGAAAGCCCUUGGAAGGAGACGGGUGGAUGCAUGGGAGAUGCAGGCUACACUGCAGGGCUGCUGGCUUGCAGGAGAGAACCGAGGACAAGGGAGAGCUGGGGAAAGUUCUCUUGUGGUUGAAAUAAAUGCCAGACACUCUUCAAUGGAGCCCAUGUUUGUUUGGUUCAGUCUGUGAAGUAAUUCAAACCUCAGUGCAUGAUUGAAAAUAGUACAAUUUUCCAUCUGCAAGUGGCAGAGCUCAACAUCUGGGUCUGGUCAGGAGAGAGACAGAGAGAGCCCAGCCCAAACCACUGACACCUGGGGUUGACAGUGCUGCUUACAGAUGUGUUCCUUUGAUCUUUGAGACUGGUUUCUCUCACUUAGCAUAAUGCCUGGAGUUCAACUGUAAUGGUUUGUGAAUCGAUCAUUUGAUAUUUUUUAUUGCUGAUGGAUUCAAUUUAUAGAUGCUUCCUAGUUUUUUCACCUACUCAAAUUUUGAGACAUUUAUGUUAUUUUUCAUUUCUAACACACACACAUGUAAUAUCUUGAAUAUUUGAAUAGAGGUUUUGUGUGAAAAUAAGAUUGUAUUUCUCUGAAGCAAAAUUCAAGAGUGGGAUAUUUAGGUCAUGUGUUAAGGGCAUGUUUGAUUGCAGAAAAAACUAAAAAUUAUUUUCCCGAGUAGCUGUUUCAUUUUGCAUUCCCAUUAACAAUGUCGUAGACACUAGGAACUUGGUAUGCUCAUCAGCAUUGGUAUUACCUGUAUUUCUUCUUAAUUUCAGCCAUUCUAAAAAGUGUAUAGUGGUGUCUCAUUGUGGGCUUGAUUUGAAUUCCUUUAAUGGAAAAUCCUGUUAACAGCCUGUUUAUAUGCUUAUGUGUCAUCUGCACAUCUCAUUUGAUGAAAUGUCUGCACAAACCUUUGCCUAUUUUAUCCAUGGGUUGUUUCUUUCUUAUUUCUUUUUCACAGUUGAGUCUUGAGAGUUCUUAUUCUAAUUAAAUUGGUGGUUAUGUGAUUUGAAAAUA